CUCUAACCAUAAGUGACUUCCAUUUAGAGUCUGCCAUUAUGUGUAUGUACGACUAUCUAACACUCUUCAUGGAUGGUACACAAAUGGGUCCAUUCUGUGGGGAUCGCACCAUCCCUGUGUAUUACUCCAAAGGCAACUCUAUGGUUCUCGUAUUCCACAGUGACAAGUCUACCCAGGCAAAGGGCUUCCAAGUCUCUUACACCUUCUUUCAAUAGAUGAGCAACAGAUGUCACAAAGAGAAAAUCUACCGGUUCUGGAAGGAAGGCGACAUCACUACAGGACACAAUGGGAAUUUGAUGGAACACGUAUAGAAAAGUUCACACAUUUGUAAACAUAUAUAUAUAAUGAUUAAAUGUACAUCGAAUCAUGCUAUUGUUUGCAAUUACAUUUAAAAAUACAAAAUAAUAUUUCUGAAUUGUUUUCCCAUUUGAUUGGUAUUUUGAUUGGCUUGGUUAGGAAUAGGGGAGCUAAUUUUGGCGUCCUCUGGUUUCAUGGUGAUUUACAUUUAUCCUAUAGUGAUAAUUCUUAUUUCUUUAUCUUUCUUUUUACCUACUUAUUAUUUUGAGGGAGUGAUUGGGAUAUAUAUGACAGUCUGAUCUGAUGUUUUCCUUUCCUUUUUCAAAAUAAACUAUAUUAAAGAAUUAA
Long non-coding RNA from Rana temporaria (common frog), 645 nucleotides. RefSeq lists it as uncharacterized. NCBI's taxonomy places the organism in Eukaryota, Metazoa, Chordata, Amphibia, Anura, Ranidae. The record is from RefSeq and is a predicted model, not a curated record. The transcript has 2 exons.